AGAGUUUGACCCUGGCUCAGGAUGAACGCUGGCGGCGUGCUUAACACAUGCAAGUCGAACGAAGCACCUUAUUCUGAUUUCUUCGGAAUGAAAAAUUUGGUGACUGAGUGGCGGACGGGUGAGUAACGCGUGGGUAACCUGCCUCAUACAGGGGGAUAACAGUUAGAAAUGACUGCUAAUACCGCAUAAGACCACAGCACCGCAUGGUGCAGGGGUAAAAACUCCGGUGGUAUGAGAUGGACCCGCGUCUGAUUAGGUAGUUGGUGGGGUAACGGCCUACCAAGCCGACGAUCAGUAGCCGACCUGAGAGGGUGACCGGCCACAUUGGGACUGAGACACGGCCCAAACUCCUACGGGAGGCAGCAGUGGGGAAUAUUGCACAAUGGGGGAAACCCUGAUGCAGCGACGCCGCGUGAGCGAUGAAGUAUUUCGGUAUGUAAAGCUCUAUCAGCAGGGAAGAAAAUGACGGUACCUGACUAAGAAGCACCGGCUAAAUACGUGCCAGCAGCCGCGGUAAUACGUAUGGUGCAAGCGUUAUCCGGAUUUACUGGGUGUAAAGGGAGCGUAGACGGAGUGGCAAGUCUGAUGUGAAAACCCGGGGCUCAACCCCGGGACUGCAUUGGAAACUGUCAAUCUAGAGUACCGGAGAGGUAAGCGGAAUUCCUAGUGUAGCGGUGAAAUGCGUAGAUAUUAGGAGGAACACCAGUGGCGAAGGCGGCUUACUGGACGGUAACUGACGUUGAGGCUCGAAAGCGUGGGGAGCAAACAGGAUUAGAUACCCUGGUAGUCCACGCCGUAAACGAUGACUACUAGGUGUCGGGCAGCAAAGCUGUUCGGUGCCGCAGCAAACGCAAUAAGUAGUCCACCUGGGGAGUACGUUCGCAAGAAUGAAACUCAAAGGAAUUGACGGGGACCCGCACAAGCGGAGGAACAUGUGGUUUAAUUCGAUGAUACGCGAGGAACCUUACCCGGGCUUGAAUUGCAGGUGCAUGAGUCAGAGACGGCUCUUUCCUUCGGGACUCCUGUGAAGGUGCUGCAUGGUUGUCGUCAGCUCGUGCCGUGAGGUGUCGGCUUAAGUGCCAUAACGAGCGCAACCCUUCUCCCCAGUUGCCAUCGGGUAAUGCCGGGCCCUCUGGGGACACUGCCAUCGUAAGAUGCGAGGAAGGUGGGGAUGACGUCAAAUCAGCACGGCCCUUACGUCCGGGGCCACACACGUGUUACAAUGGGGGGUACAGAGGGCCGCUGUCCGGUGACGGUCGGCCAAUCCCUAAAACCCCUCUCAGUUCGGACUGGAGUCUGCAACCCGACUCCACGAAGCUGGAUUCGCUAGUAAUCGCGCAUCAGCCAUGGCGCGGUGAAUACGUUCCCGGGCCUUGUACACACCGCCCGUCAAGCCAUGAAAGCCGGGGGUGCCUGAAGUCCGUGACCGCGAGGGUCGGCCUAGGGUAAAACUGGUGAUUGGGGCUAAGUCGUAACAAGGUA
This 1482-nucleotide ribosomal RNA is filed under the name metagenome. Its description in RNAcentral is "bacterial SSU rRNA". It matches the Rfam family "Bacterial small subunit ribosomal RNA". The record is from RNAcentral.